This 795-nucleotide ribosomal RNA is filed under the name uncultured bacterium. Its description in RNAcentral is "bacterial SSU rRNA". It matches the Rfam family "Bacterial small subunit ribosomal RNA", at positions 8 to 796 of the family's 1533-position model. The record is from RNAcentral.
AGAGUUUGAUCAUGGCUCAGAUUGAACGCUGGCGGCAUGCCUUACACAUGCAAGUCGAACGGCAGCACGGGUGCUUGCACCUGGUGGCGAGUGGCGAACGGGUGAGUAAUACAUCGGAACAUGUCCAGUAGUGGGGGAUAGCCCGGCGAAAGCCGGAUUAAUACCGCAUACGAUCUACGGAUGAAAGCGGGGGAUCUUCGGACCUCGCGCUAUUGGGGUGGCCGAUGGCGGAUUAGCUAGUUGGUGGGGUAAAGGCCCACCAAGGCGACGAUCCGUAGCUGGUCUGAGAGGACGACCAGCCACACUGGGACUGAGACACGGCCCAGACUCCUACGGGAGGCAGCAGUGGGGAAUUUUGGACAAUGGGCGAAAGCCUGAUCCAGCAAUGCCGCGUGUGUGAAGAAGGCCUUCGGGUUGUAAAGCACUUUUGUCCGGAAAGAAAUCCUGGUGGCUAAUAUCCGCCGGGGAUGACGGUACCGGAAGAAUAAGCACCGGCUAACUACGUGCCAGCAGCCGCGGUAAUACGUAGGGUGCGAGCGUUAAUCGGAAUUACUGGGCGUAAAGCGUGCGCAGGCGGUGAUGUAAGACCGAUGUGAAAUCCCCGGGCUUAACCUGGGAACUGCAUUGGUGACUGCAUCGCUGGAGUAUGGCAGAGGGGGGUAGAAUUCCACGUGUAGCAGUGAAAUGCGUAGAGAUGUGGAGGAAUACCGAUGGCGAAGGCAGCCCCCUGGGCCAAUACUGACGCUCAUGCACGAAAGCGUGGGGAGCAAACAGGAUUAGAUACCCCAGUAGUCC